Molecule: ribosomal RNA, 301 nt
Filed under: uncultured bacterium
Lineage: Bacteria
Description: partial 16S ribosomal RNA
Rfam family: Bacterial small subunit ribosomal RNA
Source: RNAcentral
CAGUCGCCACGGUAAUACGUAGGUGGCAAACGUUGUCCGGAAUUAUUGGGCGUAAAGGGCUCGCAGGCGGUUUCUUAAGUCUGAUGUGAAAGCCCCCGGCUUAACCGGGGAGGGUCAUUGGAAACUGGGAAACUUGAGUGCAGAAGAGGAGAGUGGAAUUCCACGUGUAGCGGUGAAAUGCGUAGAGAUGUGGAGGAACACCAGUGGCGAAGGCGACUCUCUGGUCUGUAACUGACGCUGAGGAGCGAAAGCGUAGGGAGCGAACGGGAUUAGAUACCCCUGUAGUCCCUGUCUCUUAUAC